AGAGGGAGGGGGUGUCCUCGGUGCCCGGGGUGCCCCCGGGUCCUGCAGUGCCCGGUGUCCCCGGUGCCCGGUUACCGGUACCCGGUACCCGAUUCCCAGUGCUCGGUGUCCCAGUUCCCCGGUUCCCCAGUGUCCCCAGUCCCUGGUUCCCGGUGCCCGGUCCCUGAUUCCCGGUGCCCCGGUGCCUGAUCCCCGGUGCCCAAUUCCCAGUGCCCGGUACCCGGUUCCCAGUGCCUGGUGCCCAAUCCCCGGUGCCCCAGUGCCCGGUUCCUGAUGCCCAGUUCCUCGGUUCCCCGGUGCCCUAUUCCCGGUGCCCUAUUCCCGGUACUCGGUGUCCCAGUUCCCCAGUGUCCCCAGCCCUGGUGCCCGGUUCCCAGUGCCCAGUCCCUGAUUCCCAAUUCCCGGUGCCCAAUUCCCAGUGCCCAGUUCCCCGGUUCCCCAGUGUUCCCAGUGCCCGAUCCCUCGUGCCCAGUUCCUCAGUUCCCCAGUGCCCAAUUCCCAGUGCCCGGUACCCGAUUCCCAGUGCCCGGUGCCCCAGUUCCCCAGUGUCCCCAGCCCUGGUGCCCGAUUCCCGGUGCCCGGUACCCGAUUCCCAGUGCCUGGUGUCCCUGGUGCCCAGUUCCCAGUGCCUGGUCCCCAAUUCCCGGUGCCCCGGUGCCCGGUCACUGAUUCCCAACCCCCGGUGCCCCAGUGCCUGGUUCCUGAUGCCCAGUUCCUCGGUUCCCCAGUGCCCGAUUCCCAGUGCUCGGUGUCCCAGUCCCCCAGUGUCCCCGAUCCCUGGAGCCCGGUUCCCGGUGCCCGGUUCCCAAUUCCUCAUCCCCUGGUGCCCAAUUCCCAGUGCCCGAUUCCCAGUGUCCGGUACCCGAUUCCCAGUGCUCGGUGUCCCAGUUCCCCAGUGCCUGAUCCCCGGUGCCCGAUUCCCAGUGCUCGGUGUCCCAGUUCCCCAGUCCCCCAGUGCCCCUGAUUCCUGGUGCCCAGUUCCUGAUACCCAGUAUCUGGUGUCCCCGGUUCCCUAGUGCCUGAUCCCUGGUGCCCAAUCACCAGUGCCCAGUACCCAAAUCCCAGUGCUCAGUGUCCCGGUUCCCCAGUGUCCCCAGCCCUGGUGCCCAGUGCCAGGUUCCUCGUCCCCCAGUGCCCAAUUCCUGGUGCCUGGUUCCUUGGUUCCCCAGUGUCCCCAGUGCCUAGUUCCUGAUUCCUGGCGCCUGAUUCCCGGUUCCUGGUGCCUCGUUCCCUGGUUCCCAGUUCCCAGUGCCCAGCGGUGCUCUGGGGCCUUGUCCCCUGUGGCCCUUGCUGCCCGGUGCAGCACCGAGCACGGCCGCGGGCUCCCGGUGCCUCCUCGGGGCUGCCAAACCCCCCCGGUGACUCCCCCACUCCUCACGGGGAGCAGGCUCGGGGACACCUCCUGCCCCCGGGGUGCCGGUGCUGUGGGUGCAGGCGUGGGCCACCAAAAUGGGCGUUUGGCUGCUGGAAAUGGGAACCAAAAGGGCAGGGGGCAACCCGGACCCUCACGAGUCCUGGGGCUGCCCGCGGGUGUGUGCCAGGCAAGGAAUCGCCCCCCAGGACCCCCGGUCUGAGGGCAGGGUCUCAGGGCACGGGGCUGCUUUGUGAGCCGGGGACGGGGCCUCGUGUGGGGACCCCCGGGGACCCCCUUGUGUGGGGCCAGCGUUUGGGGCUCGUCCCCACGUCCCCUGUGCCGCAGGGGUUGUCCCUUCACGGGGCGCAUUGCGCACACACAGGGUGCCUUCCUCCUGCCGUGACCCCCCCCCCCCCCCCUGCCCCCCCCCCCAGAGCAUCGCCGAGUAC
Molecule: long non-coding RNA, 1803 nt
Filed under: Anas platyrhynchos platyrhynchos (common mallard)
Lineage: Eukaryota; Metazoa; Chordata; Aves; Anseriformes; Anatidae
Description: lncRNA (ENSAPLG00000016482.1)
Source: RNAcentral